UUCUCUAAGAAAAUCAUCUAGAGUAAGGCCUGCUCAAUGAAAAAUAAAUAGCCGCAGUAUACUGUGCUAAGGUAGCAUAAUAAUUUGCUCUUUAAUUAAGAGAUAGAAUGAACGACCAAACACCCAAACACUCUCUCUUUUAACCCCUUAAUUAAAUUAAGAAAAAAGUAAAAACUCUUUUAAUAAAGGCGGGACGACAAGACCCUAAUAAACUUAUUCAUUUGGUUGGGGAAACAAACUAAUAAAUAUUUAUUAACACCAAAACACAAAACCCUAAAAUAAGAUAAAGACUAGUUACUAUAGGGAUAACAGCGCAAUUUCUUUCAAGAGCCCUUAUCCGAAAAGAAGAUUACGACCUCGAUGUUGAAUUAACUUACCUAAUUGAAGCAACUCUCAAAUACAGGUAGUCUGUUCGACUAUUAAAAAGUU
RNAcentral lists this ribosomal RNA (429 nucleotides) under Pholcus ceylonicus. Its description in RNAcentral is "partial 16S ribosomal RNA". It matches the Rfam family "Bacterial large subunit ribosomal RNA", at positions 1829 to 2597 of the family's 2925-position model. The record is from RNAcentral. Lineage: Eukaryota; Metazoa; Arthropoda; Arachnida; Araneae; Pholcidae.